AUCUCAAGCCCUUAGAUCUCCAGGUUCCAGUCAAAGUAUCGAUACAGUGAAGGGACUUUUUGGCAUUGACCUUGUUAGCAGGGUGCAUUGUGCUGAGAGUGGUGAAGAAAGUUUAGAAACAGAGUCAAUUUAUUCUCUUAAAUGCCACAUAUCACAUGAAGUCAAUCAUUUGCAUGAGGGGCUGAAACAUGUAAUUUUUGUUAUUCACAU
Lactuca sativa (garden lettuce) is the source of this 210-nucleotide long non-coding RNA. RefSeq lists it as uncharacterized. Lineage: Eukaryota; Viridiplantae; Streptophyta; Magnoliopsida; Asterales; Asteraceae. The record is from RefSeq and is a predicted model, not a curated record.